CGGUAAACAAAGGGAAAGGCAGCCCUGUGAAGGUGAGCAAAUCCCAAAAAUAAACGUCCCAGUUCGGAUUGUAGUCUGCAACCCGACUACAUGAAGCUGGAAUCGCUAGUAAUCGCGGAUCAGAAUGCCGCGGUGAAUACGUUCCCGGGUCUUGUACACACCGCCCGUCACACCAUGGGAGUCGGAAAUGCCCGAAGCCGGUGACUCAACCUUUAAGGAGAGAGCCGUCGAAGGCAGGUCUGAUAACUGGGGUGAAGUCGUAACAAGGUAGC
RNAcentral lists this ribosomal RNA (272 nucleotides) under uncultured bacterium. RNAcentral's name for it is "partial 16S ribosomal RNA". It matches the Rfam family "Bacterial small subunit ribosomal RNA", at positions 1234 to 1500 of the family's 1533-position model. The record is from RNAcentral.